RNAcentral lists this ribosomal RNA (318 nucleotides) under Triticum aestivum (bread wheat). Its description in RNAcentral is "partial small subunit ribosomal RNA". The record is from RNAcentral. Lineage: Eukaryota; Viridiplantae; Streptophyta; Magnoliopsida; Poales; Poaceae.
AUGAGGGUCAUUGAGCGCUUUGAAUCCCUCCACACUUCUGACCUCCAAUGGCUCAACUCCGCCAAUGUUGUUCUCCUUCCCAAAAAGGAGGGUGCGGAGGGCAUCUCCGACUACAGGCCCAUUAGUCUCAUCCAUGCCAUCACCAAAAUCACCACCAAGGUCCUCUCGCUCUGUCUUGCCCCUCACAUGGAUGGUCUAGUGUCCAACGCUCAAAGUGCGUUCAUCAAGAGGCAUAGCAUUCACCACAAUUUCAUGUACAUUAGAAACUUUGCUAGAAGACUUCACAGGUGUUAAACACCCGCCCUGAUUUUCAAACUG